CGCGUAGGCGGCCUGAUAAGUAGGGGGUGAAAUCUUGCGGCUUAACCGCAAGGCUGCCUUCUAAACUGUCAGGCUCGAGCACAGUAGAGGCAGGUGGAAUUCCCGGUGUAGUGGUGAAAUGCGUAGAUAUCGGGAGGAACACCAGUGGCGAAGGCGAUCUUCUGGUCUGUUUCUGACACUCAGACGCGACAGCUAGGGUAAGUAAACG
Molecule: ribosomal RNA, 208 nt
Filed under: uncultured bacterium
Lineage: Bacteria
Description: partial 16S ribosomal RNA
Rfam family: Bacterial small subunit ribosomal RNA
Source: RNAcentral